Biomphalaria pfeifferi is the source of this 698-nucleotide non-coding RNA. Lineage: Eukaryota; Metazoa; Mollusca; Gastropoda; Planorbidae. The record is from the annotation of a GenBank genome assembly.
GUUAUUGUAGUUAAGUUUAUAAAACAAGAAAUGUGUUUCACUUCAUAGUUAUUUGUAUAUACCUCACAUAUCAUACAUUUAUUAUACAUUAUCACUUUGUUUUGUAUUUAGUUGUGCAAUGCAAUACUACAGACACAGUGCACAACCUCAGUGCAUAGAGUCAAUGAACUGAAUUUCACAAAACCUUAGCUCAAGAUCACAGUAUUGUUACAGUCAUAUUAGGUCUGGAGAGGAACCCACACAGGAAGAGAAUGGCCGGAAGACUGAAACAAAACAUGGAGGACAUUGGUAGACCAAGAAGCAAAGAUGGCAGGAUGGAUGAACCCUAGUGAGAGGAAUCGCCCAGAAUGAUGCGCCCCUAUACUCCAUGGGGAGUCAAAAGGAGAAAUGACUGCUCCAUGUAAUGACCUUCCCCAUAUUGCAAAUGUUGUUAGAAUAAAGCUCCAGGUACUAUCAAACUUCAAAUGAAAUAGUACCGGUACCAAAAGUCCAGUUUGAGAUUCUCUCUAAAUAUUGAAGCGCUAAGAUUUAAGUCUCUUGACUACAAGGUUGUUUUUCUAUUUACAUACAUACUUUCUCUGACAAAAAGGCAAUGUAGUGACCAUUGUGAAACAUUAAAGGUGAUAUUGUUUACAGGUCAUUUUAGACACAACAUCAACCUCAUUAAUACCCAGUAGUGAGUGAUCAGACAAUGAGAA